AGUAAGCCCCGCCUUGUCACGUAGCUGUCGUCGAUGCGCAGCCACACACGAGCAGACGAGAGACAAGCAGAGAAAACUAGUAGAAGUCGUAAAACUAGUAUAACUGUAGAAACUGUGUUUAUAAAACUAUAUAAAGCAGUGGAAGUGGAAGUUGAAGGAAACGGAACCGAAGUGAGACCGAAUUGAUGAGCGUCGGGAGUUUUAUUAUUUUCGGCGGAGUCUUGGCUAGGUUUUUUGGAAUCCCUUGAAACCGUUGAGAGAUUGGAUUGAAUUCCCCUUGACGAAGGGGUGGCGAGCUAGUGAUGAAAACACCUCCUUAUCCCAAGGAGUGGAUCGGAUGACCUGUAUGAGAAGCAUCACCUCCCAUCAGGUGAACAGGUUCUGAAGCGCACACGUGACCAUUGACUAACUUUUUGACUUACGACCUGACAUUUUGACUUGAAGUACAUUGAACCAAAGAACACUUGCAAGGAUUUUAUUUUGUUUUUAUUUUAUUUUUCCUUAUGGACAUUCCGCAGCCAUUUAUUGGUGUUUAAAAUAAAUUGUUUUGAAUUGUUCUAAUGUUACCGGAUAUUGAUUAUUAUUGAAAAUUGAAUAUUACUGAUUGCACUUGAAUCUAUUUUAUUAUUUUUCUAAAAGCCAAUACAAUUCAUCUAAACGUAA
Pleuronectes platessa (European plaice) is the source of this 663-nucleotide long non-coding RNA. RefSeq lists it as uncharacterized. The record is from RefSeq and is a predicted model, not a curated record. The transcript is spliced from 2 exons. NCBI's taxonomy places the organism in Eukaryota, Metazoa, Chordata, Actinopteri, Pleuronectiformes, Pleuronectidae.